This 328-nucleotide long non-coding RNA is filed under the name Elaeis guineensis (African oil palm). Its description in RNAcentral is "long non-coding RNA (EGUI_LNC052694)". The record is from RNAcentral. Lineage: Eukaryota; Viridiplantae; Streptophyta; Magnoliopsida; Arecales; Arecaceae.
UCAGCGAUUGUCUCGAUGCUGUAGUUGUGUGACUGGUCCUUCAACUUGAGAUGGUGCUGCUACUCACAAUGAAGCUGUUGAAGUUUGACUGACACAUAAAUAUGGGUCUCAAUAAGCCCUUGUAGUAGAUAUUGAUGAUAAUUGAUCUACUAUAAGAGUGGAGUGCGCAUCAAGAUAGGAUCUAUCAAUCUUGAUAGAGAGAAUUAGUCCUAUGAGAUUUGAAAAGCUAAAUCCAAGAGUCUGUGGUCACAGCAGUGUGAUUGAUGGAAAAGAGUUUCCAUAGAAGUCAUAAUUGGACUUGAGCUAAUCGAAUCUAUCAUAUGACUAA